GCCUAUGGCCAUACCACCCUGAACGCGCCCGAUCUCGUCUGAUCUCGGAAGCUAAGCAGGGUCGGGCCUGGUUAGUACUUGGAUGGGAGACCGCCUCGGAAUACCGGGUGCUGUAGGCU
This 119-nucleotide ribosomal RNA is filed under the name Saimiri boliviensis boliviensis (Bolivian squirrel monkey). Lineage: Eukaryota; Metazoa; Chordata; Mammalia; Primates; Cebidae. The record is from RNAcentral.